Long non-coding RNA from Aricia agestis (brown argus), 138 nucleotides. RefSeq lists it as uncharacterized. The record is from RefSeq and is a predicted model, not a curated record. The transcript has 3 exons. NCBI's taxonomy places the organism in Eukaryota, Metazoa, Arthropoda, Insecta, Lepidoptera, Lycaenidae.
GUUGAAAUUAAGGUGCAACGGAUUGUUUAAACAACGUCGAAAUCCCCGAAUCUGUAUCUAAUAAGGAUUCAAAAGUUCUGUUGGGUACCUUCAGAUCCAGGGUAUAACCUGGUACGAAAUCUUACUUUUUGGUAGCAU